UCCCUGGGAGAUCCUUUGGAGGCCU
This 25-nucleotide non-coding RNA is filed under the name Rattus norvegicus (Norway rat). Lineage: Eukaryota; Metazoa; Chordata; Mammalia; Rodentia; Muridae. The record is from RNAcentral.